This 477-nucleotide ribosomal RNA is filed under the name uncultured bacterium. RNAcentral describes it as "partial 16S ribosomal RNA". It matches the Rfam family "Bacterial small subunit ribosomal RNA", at positions 30 to 507 of the family's 1533-position model. The record is from RNAcentral.
AUUGAACGCUGGCGGCAUGCCUUACACAUGCAAGUCGAACGGUAACAGGUUAAGCUGACGAGUGGCGAACGGGUGAGUAAUGUAUCGGAACGUGCCCAGUCGUGGGGGAUAACUGCUCGAAAGAGCAGCUAAUACCGCAUACGACCUGAGGGUGAAAGCGGGGGAUCGCAAGACCUCGCGCGAUUGGAGCGGCCGAUAUCAGAUUAGGUAGUUGGUGAGGUAAAGGCUCACCAAGCCGACGAUUUGUAGCUGGUCUGAGAGGACGACCAGCCACACUGGGACUGAGACACGGCCCAGACUCCUACGGGAGGCAGCAGUGGGGAAUUUUGGACAAUGGGCGCAAGCCUGAUCCAGCCAUGCCGCGUGCGGGAAGAAGGCCUUCGGGUUGUAAACCGCUUUUGUCAGGGAAGAAAAGGUUCUGGCUAAUACCUGGGACUCAUGACGGUACCUGAAGAAUAAGCACCGGCUAACUACGUG